This 39-nucleotide transfer RNA is filed under the name Lycodonomorphus inornatus (black house snake). Its description in RNAcentral is "partial tRNA-Ser". The record is from RNAcentral. Lineage: Eukaryota; Metazoa; Chordata; Lepidosauria; Squamata; Lamprophiidae.
GAGGGGUUUAUAAGACCUGCUAACUCUUUAAUCUGGGAU